Coffea arabica (coffee) is the source of this 360-nucleotide long non-coding RNA. RefSeq lists it as uncharacterized. Lineage: Eukaryota; Viridiplantae; Streptophyta; Magnoliopsida; Gentianales; Rubiaceae. The record is from RefSeq and is a predicted model, not a curated record.
UAUGCAAAGACUGGAGAAUUGACAAGCUGAAAUGCAAAACCAACAAAUUGAAAUGCAAGACCUUCUUAAGGCUUUGAAAGUUGAAUUGCAGUCUAGGAAGUAGGGCAAUGAGAGUAUAUCUGGCAAUGAUAAAUGGCUUUGUAUCAAGAAACUUUAGCAAUGAAUGCCUCUCCAAACAAUUUUACCUUAAAGAAAGGAAAUGGAGACUCUGCACAGGAACAAAAGCAUAGCUUCUUUUGAGCACUAAUGCAGAACUUCCCUCCUUUGGAGAUGGAACCAGCUGAAGAUUGAUGGGGACUUCGUGGUUAUGACUGAAAGCUCUCAUUUCAUUGAAAAGUUUGGAAGCUACUGUUAGUUCUU